This 313-nucleotide long non-coding RNA is filed under the name Elaeis guineensis (African oil palm). RNAcentral's name for it is "long non-coding RNA (EGUI_LNC034627)". Lineage: Eukaryota; Viridiplantae; Streptophyta; Magnoliopsida; Arecales; Arecaceae. The record is from RNAcentral.
UAGAAUUCAAACUGGUCCUAGCUUCCCAAAAUCAUCAUCAUGACUCCUAUCAUAGCCUCUCAAGACUUGGGAGCACCACUCACUCAUUCACAACAAUCUCCACCUUGGUGCCCCAAGCCUUGACAAACCCCACACAAUUCACCUGCAAGAUCUUUUUACCUUCCUUAUCUGUUGGCAUUCUCCAGUAUCCUAUUGUCCUCCAAUACUUCAUGCUCAUGCAUCUGAUGCAUCCGCAUCCACUGCUGCCAAAGUGAACCUCCUAUGCACCAGGCCCUGUGCAUCAGCCCCCGCACCCUACGUGCCUUAUGCCACC